AUUGAACGCUGGCGGCAGGCCUAACACAUGCAAGUCGAGCGGAUGAAGGGAGCUUGCUCCUGGAUUCAGCGGCGGACGGGUGAGUAAUGCCUAGGAAUCUGCCUGGUAGUGGGGGAUAACGUCCGGAAACGGGCGCUAAUACCGCAUACGUCCUGAGGGAGAAAGUGGGGGAUCUUCGGACCUCACGCUAUCAGAUGAGCCUAGGUCGGAUUAGCUAGUUGGUGGGGUAAAGGCCUACCAAGGCGACGAUCCGUAACUGGUCUGAGAGGAUGAUCAGUCACACUGGAACUGAGACACGGUCCAGACUCCUACGGGAGGCAGCAGUGGGGAAUAUUCGACAAUGGGCGAAAGCCUGAUCCAGCCAUGCCGCGUGUGUGAAGAAGGUCUUCGGAUUGUAAAGCACUUUAAGUUGGGAGGAAGGGCAGUGAGUUAAUCCCUUGCUGUUUUGACGUUACCAACAGAGUAAGCACCGGCUAACUUCGUG
RNAcentral lists this ribosomal RNA (484 nucleotides) under uncultured bacterium. Its description in RNAcentral is "partial 16S ribosomal RNA". It matches the Rfam family "Bacterial small subunit ribosomal RNA", at positions 30 to 507 of the family's 1533-position model. The record is from RNAcentral.